GGUUUAGUGUGGAAAGAACUAUGCAAAGCCACCCCAGCUACUGAGCCUGUGGACUCAGCAAUAAGACUUAAAAUUCCAGCAACGAUUCCUAACUUACGCUUUGUUCUUUUUUUAUCUCUCCAUGAGCUGUUAUUAAUCCACAUGGUUUAAAUACUUCUGGUAAAACUUGUAAAAGAUUUCUAGUUCUGCCAUGCUAAGUCCUGCAAAAAAAAAAAAAUCCAUAUAAUGAGAAAUAUAUAAAUGAGGAUUAUCUACAUAGAUCUGACACAUGGUAGGGGAAUUCAUUAUUCCUUGUAGGAGUACUUUCCAUUGAUAUCUUUAGUGUGGCCCCCCUAUUAUUUACAUAAGGUAUUGAAAAAGCAAAACCUUUCCUCUGAUUUCAAUGAACAGGAGUGAUUUAAAAAAAACAAAACAAAACAGUCUUGCCAAUCAAUUACAAUUUACAGGCCAAGAAGAAGGUAAUGUAGAUGGCUGAGGAGUCCUGGUUACAGGGUUCCCAUGGGAUACAUAGUAGAAUUAACUCCCCUUCAGUCUGUUAACAACCUCCAUUUCCCAGACUUCUUAUUCACAAAAAUAGGGGGGUUCCAUGGAGAUGUAGAUGGUUCAAUUUGCCCUUUUUGAAGUUGCUUCUCAACCACAGGUUGUGCGGCAUCCAAUUGCUGCUUUGUUCAGUCCAGAGGGGAUACGUUUUUCCCAUAGAAUUUGUAUAGACUACAUCUAUAGAGUAUUAAAUGUUAAAUGAGCACCCCGUUGCUCCAAGACAUCUCUUACAAAAAUACUAACAGGUACUUGUAAUAAGAAAGGUUUUAAAACAGCAGUUUGCCCAUCUUCAGUAAUCGAAGUAAUCGAAGACAUGAUCUAAACACUUUGUUUAAUAGAGAUUAGAGGCUGAGAACCAAUACCUUUUAUUUCACAAGGUAGUUGUUGUACAGGCCAACUUAAAGGCCAGUCUUUUUCUGUAAUUAUAGUAAUAUCAGACCCUGUAUCUAUCAGACCAAUAAAAGAUUUACUAUU
This 1014-nucleotide long non-coding RNA is filed under the name Mus musculus (house mouse). Its description in RNAcentral is "long non-coding RNA chr14:47316473-47317487". The record is from RNAcentral. Lineage: Eukaryota; Metazoa; Chordata; Mammalia; Rodentia; Muridae.